CUAGUCGAGUGGCUCAGCCAAUACGAGUCACGGCACACAGCUCAGUAACACGUGGCUAACCUGCCCUUAGGACGAGAACAACCCCGGGAAACUGGGGCUAAUUCUCGAUAGGCGAAGAACUCUGGAAUGAGUCUUCACCCAAAUAGUCCAGCGUUAUGCUCGUUGGACCGCCUAAGGAUGGGGCCGCGACCGAUCAGGUUGUUGGUGAGGUAAUGGCUCACCAAGCCUUUUACCGGUGCGGGCCGUGGGAGCGGGAGCCCGGAGAUGGGCACUGAGACAAGGGCCCAGGCCCUACGGGGCGCAGCAGUCGCGAAAACUUUGCAAUAAGCGAAAGCUUGACAGGGCUAUCCCGAGUGCCAUCCGCUGAGGAAGGCUUUUACCCAGUCUAGAACGCUGGGGGAAUAAGGAGAGGGCAAGUCUGGUGUCAGCCGCCGCGGUAAUACCAGCUCUCCGAGUGGUGUGGAUGUUUAUUGGGCCUAAAGCAUCCGUAGCUGGCUAGGUUAGUCCCUUGUUAAAUCCACCGAAUUAAUCGUUGGAUUGCGGGGGAUACUGCUUGGCUAGGGGACGAGAGAGGCAGACGGUAUUUUCGGGGUAGGGGUGAAAUCCUAUAAUCCCGGGAAGACCACCAGUGGCGAAGGCUGUCAGCUAGAACGCGCCCGA
RNAcentral lists this ribosomal RNA (660 nucleotides) under uncultured archaeon. RNAcentral describes it as "bacterial SSU rRNA". It matches the Rfam family "Archaeal small subunit ribosomal RNA", at positions 54 to 694 of the family's 1478-position model. The record is from RNAcentral.